This 483-nucleotide long non-coding RNA is filed under the name Elaeis guineensis (African oil palm). RNAcentral's name for it is "long non-coding RNA (EGUI_LNC068359)". Lineage: Eukaryota; Viridiplantae; Streptophyta; Magnoliopsida; Arecales; Arecaceae. The record is from RNAcentral.
AAGCAAAUACGUCGGCAUUGGCCGUCAGCAGCUCCGUCAGUCGGCGUCGUUCGGCGUCGGGCAAUUGAGACCCGACCCAAACUUUCCUGUCGGGACCUUCUCCUAUCGGGAUCGCCUCGAGCUGCUCGGCCGGCGAACCUCGUUCUUCCUCCUCCCGUUGGUCCAGCUUGUCGAUCGUCAGAGAACCCCUCGACUCGUCGCUUUGAGCGGAGAUUUGGAAGCAUCGUCGGGCGAGCUGUUGAUCUCCGCGCAUCUCCCCGAUUCCGUUUUUGGUCGGGAACCGAACAAGGAGAUGGUACGUCGAGACGAUCGCCUUGAGGGCGUUCAAUCCGGGUCGUCCAAGUAUGGCGUUGUAAGCCGAAGGAACUUGGACGACCGCGAAAGUGAGGGAGACCGUGCUUUGCCGUGGUUCGGUGCCGACCGUCACGGGCAGGGUGAUUUCUCCUUCUGUCGUGACGGCGUCUCCGGUAAAGCCGAUCAAGG